GAUGAACGCUGGCGGCGUGCCUAACACAUGCAAGUCGAACGAAUCAGAUAUUCAACACUGAGUAUUUAGACGAAGGAAAAAAGUUAGCCAGCGUCAAGGACGAACGAUAGAGAGUCCUUUACGCGUUCAAAAAGUGUGCUAACACAUGAUAGUCUGAAUGUUGAGUGUUGAAUAUCUGAUUAGUGGCGGACGGGUGAGUAACGCGUGGGAAACCUGCCCUAUACAGGGGGAUAGCCUCGGGAAACUGGGAUUAAUACCCCAUAAAACUCUAGUAUCGCAUGAUACAUGAGCCAAAAGAUUUAUCGGUAUAGGAUGGUCCCGCGUCUGAUUAGCUAGUUGGUGAGGUAACGGCUCACCGAGGCGACGAUCAGUAGCCGGCCUGAGAGGGUGAACGGCCACACUGGAACUGAGACACGGUCCAGACUCCUACGGGAGGCAGCAGUGGGGAAUAUUGCACAAUGGGGGAAACCCUGAUGCAGCGACGCCGCGUG
This 491-nucleotide ribosomal RNA is filed under the name uncultured bacterium. Its description in RNAcentral is "bacterial SSU rRNA". It matches the Rfam family "Bacterial small subunit ribosomal RNA", at positions 28 to 403 of the family's 1533-position model. The record is from RNAcentral.